AGAAGCAGCCAUCCAUUCAAAGAGUGCGUAACAGCUCACUGGUCGAGUGGACAUGCGCCGACAAUACACGGGGCUAAGCUGGACACCGAAGCGGCGGGAUUUUAAUUCAUUAGAAUCGGUAGGGGAGCUUCCCAUGGGCGGAGAAGCCGGAGGGCGACCGACGGUGGAGCGCAUGGGAGUGAGAAUGCUGGCAUGAGUAGCGAGAGACGAGAGAGUAACUCGUCCGCCGUGAACCCGAGGUUUCCUGGGCAAGGCUAAUCCUCCCAGGGUCAGUCGGGGGCUAAGGCGAGGCCGGUAGGCGUAGCCGACGCGCAGCAGGCAGACAUUCCUGCACCGCGCACGCGGCGCUACGACCGACGGGGCGACGGAUGGGGGUGGCUCGGCGGGGUUCUGGACGUCCCCGUGAUGGAGCGCGGCCCGCGGACCAGGGAAAUCCGGUCCGCAGAAGGGCGAGGCUCCGGACGAAGCGAUUGAGCGAAGCGAGUGAGCCCGAGGUCCCUAGAAAAACCCCUAGGCAGGCGCGUGCGCGCCCGUACCGCAAACCGACACAGGUGGGUGGGUAGAACAUACCGAGGCGAUCGGGUCAACCAUGGUCAAGGAACUCGGCACAAUGGCCCCGUAACUUCGGGAGAAGGGGUGCCCGCGCGUACGUGAACGGACUUGCUCCGGGAGCGGAGGCGGGCCGCAGUGGAGAGGCCCAAGCGACUGUUUACCAAAAACACAGGACUCUGCAGAAGCCGCAAGGCGACGUAUAGGGUCUGACGCCUGCCCGGUGCCGGAAGGUCACGCGGAGGAGUUAGCGCAUCGCGCGAAGCCCCGAAGCCAAGCCCCGGUAAACGGCGGCCGUAACUAUAACGGUCCUAAGGUAGCGAAAUUCCUUGUCGGGUAAGUUCCGACCUGCACGAAAGGCGCAACGACUUGGGCGCUGUCUCGACCAUGGACCCGGUGAAAUUGCACUGGUCGUGAAGAUGCGACUUACCCGCGGAAGGACGGAAAGACCCCGUGAACCUUCACUGCAGCUUGGCAUUGGCCGCUGGUCCCGCGUGUAGAGGAUAGGCAGGAGGCAUCGAUCCGGAGGCGCCAGCCCCCGGGGAGCCGCCCUUGGAAUACUGCCCUCGCGCGACCGGCGUCCUAACCCGAGGCCGUCAACCGGCUCGGGGACCGUGCCAGGCGGGCAGUUUGACUGGGGCGGUCGCCUCCUAAAGGGUAACGGAGGCGCGCGAAGGUCCGCUCGGGACGGUCGGCAACCGUCCUUUUGAAUGCAAGAGUACAAGCGGGCUUGACUGCGAGGCCCACAAGCCGAGCAGGUGCGAAAGCAGGCUCUAGUGAUCCGGCGGCCCCGAGUGGGUGGGCCGUCGCUCAACGGAUAAAAGGUACUCCGGGGAUAACAGGCUGAUCUUGCCCAAGAGUCCACAUCGACGGCAAGGUUUGGCACCUCGAUGUCGGCUCAUCGCAUCCUGGGGCUGGAGCAGGUCCCAAGGGUACGGCUGUUCGCCGUUUAAAGCGGUACGCGAGCUGGGUUCAGAACGUCGUGAGACAGUUCGGUCC
RNAcentral lists this ribosomal RNA (1548 nucleotides) under gut metagenome. RNAcentral's name for it is "bacterial LSU rRNA". It matches the Rfam family "Bacterial large subunit ribosomal RNA", at positions 1108 to 2637 of the family's 2925-position model. The record is from RNAcentral.